GACGGGGGAUGCAAGUGUUAUCCGGAAUCACUGGGCGUAAAGCGUCUGUAGGUGGUCAAAUAAGUCUACUGUUAAAUCUUGAGGCUCAACCUCGAAAUCGCAGUCGAAACUAUUCGACUAGAGUAUAGUAGGGGUAAAGGGAAUUUCCAGUGGAGCGGUGAAAUGCGUAGAGAUUGGAAAGAACACCGAUGGCGAAGGCACUUUACUGGGCUAUUACUAACACUGAGAGACGAAAGCUAGGGUAGCAAAUGGG
This 253-nucleotide ribosomal RNA is filed under the name uncultured bacterium. RNAcentral describes it as "partial 16S ribosomal RNA". It matches the Rfam family "Bacterial small subunit ribosomal RNA", at positions 524 to 776 of the family's 1533-position model. The record is from RNAcentral.